This is a non-coding RNA of Camelina sativa (false flax), 795 nucleotides long. The record is from RefSeq and is a predicted model, not a curated record. NCBI's taxonomy places the organism in Eukaryota, Viridiplantae, Streptophyta, Magnoliopsida, Brassicales, Brassicaceae.
CUUCCCUCACAAACCCUUUCCUUUUUUUUAUUCUCUUUGUUUGUUUGUUUGUUUGAUGACUUGUUGUGACAAGUGUUUCUGUUAAUAAAGAUUGCAUGGGUAGUAGAGAACUAGGUUAAGGUUUGCCACUUUACAAGCUUCAAUCAGUUUGUUUGCUGCUAUGGGCGAAGAACUGGAUCGAUUGUUGUUGUCUUUCUGCUUAGCGUUGAAAAGAGAUGGCGACUCAAUUGGUCUUAGUUUUUUUCCCAAAUGUUGUAGGCUGACACAAGAGAGUAGAUGAAGACAAAGAAGCCAAGAUUCUGUGUUUUGAGGCAAAUAACAUUUCUAUAAACAAAUAUUAUGGUUUUUGAGGCAAUAAUAGGCUUUAGAAAACACAUCAUUCAUUGAUGGUUCUUACACAUCUUCUUAAAAGCUUAAACAUGUACCACCCGACCAUUUUUUUAAUGGAAUGUGUCUUCUUUUCUUGUUGGCUAUUACUGCAUUUGAGUUGAUUUGUAGUAGACACUUUAAUGCAAGUAUAAUUACUGAUUGGUCUUAUACUCCCAGCUUGCAAUGAUGAUGUGUGAUGAGUUAGCCAGAAGAACACUGAAGCUACAGUUUAUCUUGCAAAGAGGACUUUUGAUGAUGUCUACGCGUACCCAAUGCGCGAGAAGCUUUAAGAGAGAGUUUAGGCAAAGAAUAAUUGUGUUGUACUGCUCAAACACUAAUGUUCUCUUUGUCUUCAAUUUUCCUAUCAAAGACAAAUGUCCUCCAUCUUUUAUAUCUCAAUUCUCUAUGAUCUCUGUUAAAUCAACA